RNAcentral lists this ribosomal RNA (253 nucleotides) under uncultured bacterium. RNAcentral describes it as "partial 16S ribosomal RNA". It matches the Rfam family "Bacterial small subunit ribosomal RNA", at positions 524 to 776 of the family's 1533-position model. The record is from RNAcentral.
UACAGGGGGUGCAAACGUUGCUCGGAAUCAUUGGGCGUAAAGCGCACGUAGGCGGUUAUUUAAGUCGGAUGUGAAAGCCCUUGGCUCAACCGAGGAAGUGCAUCCGGAACUGAAUAGCUGGAGUACGAAAGAGGGUCGCGGAAUUCCCGGUGUAGAGGUGAAAUUCGUAGAUAUCGGGAGGAACACCGGUGGCGAAGGCGGCGACCUGGUUCGAGACUGACGCUGAGGUGCGAAAGCGUGGGGAGCAAACAGG